GUGGGGAAUCUUGCGCAAUGGGCGAAAGCCUGACGCAGCCAUGCCGCGUGAAUGAUGAAGGUCUUAGGAUUGUAAAAUUCUUUCACCGGGGACGAUAAUGACGGUACCCGGAGAAGAAGCCCCGACUAACUUCGUGCCAGCAGCCGCGGUAAUACGAAGGGGGCUAGCGUUGCUCGGAAUUACUGGGCGUAAAGGGCGCGUAGGCGGACAGUUUAGUCAGAGGUGAAAGCCCAGGGCUCAACCUUGGAAUUGCCUUUGAUACUGGCUGUCUUGAGUACGGGAGAGGUGAGUGGAACUCCGAGUGUAGAGGUGAAAUUCGUAGAUAUUCGGAAGAACACCAGUGGCGAAGGCGACUCACUGGCCCAAUACUGACGCUGAGGCGCGAAAGCGUGGGGAGCAAACAGGAUUAGAUACCCGAGUAGUCC
This 425-nucleotide ribosomal RNA is filed under the name uncultured bacterium. RNAcentral describes it as "partial 16S ribosomal RNA". It matches the Rfam family "Bacterial small subunit ribosomal RNA", at positions 354 to 796 of the family's 1533-position model. The record is from RNAcentral.